This 328-nucleotide ribosomal RNA is filed under the name uncultured eukaryote. RNAcentral describes it as "partial 18S ribosomal RNA". It matches the Rfam family "Eukaryotic small subunit ribosomal RNA", at positions 1470 to 1796 of the family's 1831-position model. The record is from RNAcentral.
CCCUUAGAUGUCCGGGGCUGCACGCGCGCUACACUGAAGGAAUCAGCGUGCUAAAACCAUUGUCGAAAGGCAUUGGUAAACCCAUUAAAAUCCUACGUGAUUGGGAUCGGGAAUUGCAAUUAUUUCCCUUGAACGAGGAAUUCCCAGUAAGUGUGGGUCAUAAGCUCGCGUUGAUUACGUCCCUGCCCUUUGUACACACCGCCCGUCGCUGCCCGGGACUGAGCCGUUUCGAGAAAAGCGGGGACUGCUGCUGUCGGGUCUUUCGGGCCUUGGCUUCGGUGGAAACCGCUUUAAUCGCAGUGGCUUGAACCGGGCAAAAGUCGUAACA